This 72-nucleotide transfer RNA is filed under the name Marmota marmota marmota (Alpine marmot). It matches the Rfam family "tRNA". From Rfam's summary of the family: Transfer RNA (tRNA) molecules are approximately 80 nucleotides in length. Lineage: Eukaryota; Metazoa; Chordata; Mammalia; Rodentia; Sciuridae. The record is from Rfam by way of RNAcentral. RNAcentral also lists the same sequence under 4 other names.
UGGGGUGUGGCUUUGUGGUGGAGCACUUGCCUGGCAUGCAUGAGACCUUGGGUUCCAUCCCCAGCACCACAA